RNAcentral lists this non-coding RNA (30 nucleotides) under Rattus norvegicus (Norway rat). Lineage: Eukaryota; Metazoa; Chordata; Mammalia; Rodentia; Muridae. The record is from RNAcentral.
UAGAUAUUCUGGUAAUCAGCAGGAAAUCGA